Long non-coding RNA from Corapipo altera (White-ruffed manakin), 533 nucleotides. RefSeq lists it as uncharacterized. The record is from RefSeq and is a predicted model, not a curated record. NCBI's taxonomy places the organism in Eukaryota, Metazoa, Chordata, Aves, Passeriformes, Pipridae. The transcript has 4 exons.
AUGGCACCCCAGGCAGUGAGAGUCAGCCCCAGACAUACACAGCUCCCGGGGAGAGAUGCCACCAUGUUAGUCAACAUGACAAACAUCAGCAAAGAAUUCCUUAGGAGGAGGCAUCAUGUGAAAUAAAAGUUUGAACUGAAGGGUGGACUGUUUGACAAAUGCUCCAAGUCAGCACAGCCACUGAAAGGAGUCAAAUGGAAUAAAAGGUAAAGGGUGAGAGAGUCACUUGUCCAAAUGCAGAUGGUAGAAUAUAUGUUACCUUUAGAGAGAGGCCCUUUGGCUGAUGAAUAGCUUCCUCCAGACAGGCACGGCUGUGUCUAUCUCAGGACAUGGGAGUGGGAGGAGAGGGGAGCUCUGGACGCGGCUGGUAAAUGUGAUGGGCAGCAUGAUCCUGAUGCAGAACCCAAACCUUUUUCCUCAAAACUGUAUCCAAGAAGUCACAUCUGCAGACCACGACAGAUCAGAGCAGUUGAAUUCCUGAAGAGCCAAUAACCUACCUCAGAUAUCAUUGCAGUGCUAAGCUUUCUACAAAA